RNAcentral lists this ribosomal RNA (559 nucleotides) under Didymella glomerata. Its description in RNAcentral is "eukaryotic LSU rRNA". It matches the Rfam family "Eukaryotic large subunit ribosomal RNA", at positions 38 to 600 of the family's 3401-position model. Lineage: Eukaryota; Fungi; Ascomycota; Dothideomycetes; Pleosporales; Didymellaceae. The record is from RNAcentral.
GCAUAUCAAUAAGCGGAGGAAAAGAAACCAACAGGGAUUGCCCUAGUAACGGCGAGUGAAGCGGCAACAGCUCAAAUUUGAAAUCUGGCGUCUUCGGCGUCCGAGUUGUAAUUUGCAGAGGGCGCUUUGGCAUUGGCAGCGGUCCAAGUUCCUUGGAACAGGACGUCACAGAGGGUGAGAAUCCCGUACGUGGUCGCUAGCCUUUACCGUGUAAAGCCCCUUCGACGAGUCGAGUUGUUUGGGAAUGCAGCUCUAAAUGGGAGGUAAAUUUCUUCUAAAGCUAAAUACUGGCCAGAGACCGAUAGCGCACAAGUAGAGUGAUCGAAAGAUGAAAAGCACUUUGGAAAGAGAGUUAAAAAGCACGUGAAAUUGUUGAAAGGGAAGCGCUUGCAGCCAGACUUGCCUGUAGUUGCUCAUCCGGGUUUUUACCCGGUGCACUCUUCUAUAGGCAGGCCAGCAUCAGUUUGGGCGGUUGGAUAAAGGUCUCUGUCAUGUACCUCUCUUCGGGGAGAACUUAUAGGGGAGACGACAUGCAACCAGCCUGGACUGAGGUCCGCGC